UACAGAGGUCUCAAGCGUUGUUCGGAUUCAUUGGGCGUAAAGGGUGCGUAGGCGGCGAGGCAAGUCUGGUGUGAAAUCCCGGGGCUCAACCCCGGAACUGCACUGGAUACUGCUUUGCUAGAGUACUGGAGAGGGAACUGGAAUUUACGGUGUGGCAGUGAAAUGCGUAGAUAUCGUAAGGAAGACCAGCGGCGAAGGCGAGUUCCUGGACAGUUACUGACGCUGAGGCACGAAGGCCAGGGGAGCAAACGGG
This 253-nucleotide ribosomal RNA is filed under the name uncultured bacterium. RNAcentral describes it as "partial 16S ribosomal RNA". It matches the Rfam family "Bacterial small subunit ribosomal RNA", at positions 524 to 776 of the family's 1533-position model. The record is from RNAcentral.